Hypanus sabinus (Atlantic stingray) is the source of this 235-nucleotide long non-coding RNA. RefSeq lists it as uncharacterized. The transcript has 2 exons. The record is from RefSeq and is a predicted model, not a curated record. Lineage: Eukaryota; Metazoa; Chordata; Chondrichthyes; Myliobatiformes; Dasyatidae.
AUCCAGCAGCGAAAAGUGUAUCGGAGAAAAGAUGGGGUGUUCCUUUACUUUGAAGACAAUGCAGGAGUGAUAGUGAAUAACAAAGGAGAAAUGAAAGGCUCUGCAAUCACAGGCCCAGUUGCCAAGGAAUGUGCAGAUCUCUGGCCCAGGAUUGCUUCCAAUGCUGGAAGCAUUGCAUAAGAACUGUAAAGGCUUAAGCUGUCUACAAUUCAAUAAAUUUUUUUCCAUCCAGAAA